RNAcentral lists this ribosomal RNA (569 nucleotides) under uncultured archaeon. Its description in RNAcentral is "bacterial SSU rRNA". It matches the Rfam family "Archaeal small subunit ribosomal RNA", at positions 326 to 900 of the family's 1478-position model. The record is from RNAcentral.
CGGGGUGCAGCAGGCGCGAAAACUUUACAAUGCUGGCAACAGCGAUAAGGGGACCUCGAGUGCCAGGAUACAAUCUUGGCUGUCGCGAUGCCUAAAAAGCAUUGCAUAGCAAGGGCCGGGCAAGACCGGUGCCAGCCGCCGCGGUAACACCGGCGGCUCGAGUGGUAACCGCUAUUAUUGGGUCUAAAGGGUCUGUAGCCGGCCGGAUAAGUCUUUUGGGAAAUCCAGCUGCUCAACAGUUGGGCUUUCAGAAGAUACUGUUCGGCUCGAGACCGGGAGAGGUGAGAGGUACUUCAGGGGUAGGGGUGAAAUCUUGUAAUCCUUGAAGGACCACCAGUGGCGAAGGCGUCUCACCAGAACGGAUCUGACGGCAAGGGACGAAAGCUAGGGGCACGAACCGGAUUAGAUACCCGGGUAGUCCUAGCCGUAAACGAUACUCGCUAGGUGUCAGCCACGGUGCGACCGUGGUUGGUGCCGUAGGGAAGCCGUGAAGCGAGCCACCUGGGAAGUACGGCCGCAAGGCUGAAACUUAAAGGAAUUGGCGGGGGAGCACAAGGGCGAAUUCGCGG